Equus caballus (horse) is the source of this 4206-nucleotide non-coding RNA. NCBI's taxonomy places the organism in Eukaryota, Metazoa, Chordata, Mammalia, Perissodactyla, Equidae. The record is from RefSeq and is a predicted model, not a curated record.
GCGGGGGCGGGCCCGGGGGCGCCGCCGGGGUCGCGGGGAAGGGGGGGUUUGUUAUUGUUUUUGUCAGUGAAAGGUCAGAGUUCGUGACCCCGGUGCCGCCGCCGCCGCCGCCCGCGCUGGUAGGAGGAGGGCGAAUGUUCUCCUUCCUCUUCCCAGCGCCAGCCUCGCCGCGGCCGCGGGGGGCGGGCGAGCACGCGAUUGGCUGAGGCGCGCGCGCGCACCGGAACGCCGCGGCCCGCGCUGCUCCGGCCGGCCCCUCGGCGGCGGCUGGCCCGGCGCGGCGGCGGCGGGGCGGGCGGGCGCUGGGGCCCCGGGCUGCCGCCGCGCUCAGGCGAAAGGGUGUUUUGGUCGUCCGCAAAGCCCGGCCUGCGGGGCCGCGACUCCUCGGGCUGGGUGGGGCUGUGCGCUCGCCGAGCCGUCGUGCACCCCGGCCUCCUGCCCCCUGAAGCCUCCGCGUUUGUUGAUUGAAGAGCGGUCCCGCGGCAGAGCGCCCGUAGGUCGGUGGUUUAUUGGGUGGGUGUCCGACCGUUUGCGGCCUCCUCGGUACCGCGGGUUUGCUCUUUGGGUUUUCCGGGUCCGAAGAUGCGCCAGCUUCUGGCGGUGUCGCGUGAAGUGUUGAAACCUUCCGAAAGCUGUGUCUUUGGUCUCUUAGUGAACGUAGGGUCAAAAUCCUGCGGAGUCCACGCGUCUCGCCCUGCGAGCUCGUCAACAGCGGUACCGAAGUGUGUCUAGUAAAGCAGCUCUUUGCAAAAUUGCUUAAAUGGAGGAAGAAAAUCGCUUCUCUCGAUCUUACGCAUCUUGGGUUGUAGGUUGUCCUUAGAUAUUUCUCUCUUUUAAUUACGGUGUUGACUUGCUUUGGAAGGUGCGGAUGCCGUGAGGAGUUCAGGCCGGGCUCUCCUGGGUCGCCAUGCUUUGUAGGCCCACGAUCCUCUGCUGAUUGUUUUCCGCACUUUUGUUAUUGCAAAUAAAUACUCCCAGUUGGAUAGGUUAAUCUUUUUUCUUAGAUAGUAGCCAUUGGGGCUUUUAUCAGGGUGACCCCAACUGGGAGUAUUUUGUCCAUUAUCUGGUGAUAUUUGUAUUUGAUAGGAAAUGCUUUAAAUACACUCAUUUUCCUUACUUCCUUGUUCUCUCCUUGCAAGGAAGUAAGUGGAGAAGAGGUAAAUUUGUAAUGUCAUGGUGAGCCACAGACCCUGAAGUUGGAAGUUGGAAGGCCUCAGCACAUAAUUAUGGUCAUAUCCUCUUCUGGCAGGAAGGUUUUACAGGAGAGGUGGGUGAGAACCAGAAAGGUCAGGUGAUGUGCCUAAGGUAGCCCAGCAUUUUGAUGGUUAAAUCCUUGUAAACGUGGACUGCUUUGCAAUUGUGUGCUCUUUCUCAAAAAUUAAGUUUUUAAUGUUAAAUGAUCCUUCUAGAUAGAGCAUAAAAAUUCACACAUCAGUGAGUUUUGGGGGGUUUUCACAAAAAUUACAAUUAUACUAGAUUUUGAAGUAAAUAUUAAACAAUAAUUAAUGUUUCUAUGAUGGUUUAUAGUUUUUUUUAAUUUUCUUCAUUUAAUACUCAGCAGCUCUGUGAACAAGGUACUAUUAUUUCCAUUUAUUUGCACUGUUAUUUCCUCAGUGUAGAAACUGAGGCCCAGAUGAGUUAAGCAACCUGUCCAGUGCCGCAGGUGCAAUAAGUGAAGCCAGGGCUCUGAUCUAUUCCUUUUGAUUCAGGUUUAUGGUAUAAAUCAUGCUGUAUCAGUUUGCCCUGUUUGUAAUAGUAUUCGGUAAAUUUCAGCUAAAGGUUAGUUGUUUAAAAGUUAGUAGCAAGGGUUCAUAAUCUUGAUCGAUUUGAGUGGCUUUUCUUCCCCUGAACAUAGACGUGCAUGUACACACACACACAGAUUGCAAACAGUAUCGGCAGGUAACAGUCCUGUGCAAGCAGAGGUCAGCACUGCCAUAGUGCCACUUUUUCCUCCAUCGUGUUUUUGCUACAAGUCUUUUUAGUGAGCACUCUUUAAGUAGCUUUGUAACACUUGAUGGAUUUUAUAAUCACAAAAAAUAUUCAACUUGUAUCAUACUAGCUAUACUUUCCUUUUAUUGACUGUUAAGAAGUAUCCUCAUUUGCAUUAACAGUGCUUUUAAUAUUAUUUUAUCAGCCUUGGUAACUAAAGGAUUCUUGACUGGGGGGUGCGCUGCAGAGCUGCCAGGCCCCUGAUGGUCUAGAAGCAGUAAGCUUUGAUAUCAGUACUUCUGCUGAGCAUCACAGAUACUUCUGAUGCACACUACAGGCCUGGACCUGCAUGGUGACAAAUGCCAAACGUGUGGCAAAACCAAGGUAAAACUUUCUGUUUCACCUUUGAAAUGCAGUUUAGAAGGUUUUCUUUUUUUUUUUUUUACUCUGUGCCUGAAUAUUAUUCACUCACAGGGAACCAGGCUCGACCGGAGUGAUGAUGUAUGUGGCAGCACGCAGUCCUUGUGUGUGCAUUAUCUCGGCACCUACCCUGACUGUGAGCCCUGUAUCGAGAUGUGCCUUGUCUCUCUCGAUCUCAGUCCUUACCACAGUACCUAGUUAAGAGUGGGUAUGGAGUGGGCAUUUAUUGAAUGAAUGCUUUCCCAGCGACAGUGUAUUGCAAACGAUAUUCAUAUCAUCGUCCUGUUUUUACAGAUGAACCCAGUGAAAACAAGGUUUGGUGACUUCUAUGAGCUGGGAUGUGAGCCUGGGGCUUCUGGCUCCUUGUUCAGUGCUCUGUGGAUGAGACCCAGGUGUGCUCUCCGUGGUCCUCCGGGCAGGUCUUUUUUUCCCAUAACACUUAACCAGUCUGUUCUGCAGUCAAUCAUUAAUUGACUCCUUGAGCUGUGAGCUCCUUGAGAGCAGGAACUAUAUCAUGCAAUUUCCUUUUGUACCUAGCACAGAGUAAACAUGUUUUUUGCCCUCCAAGCUUAUUUUAAAUUUGCGUUAAAAUGAUAAAUGUUGAUUCACUGAAAAUCAAAUUUUGAGUAAACAAUAGCAGUAGAUGUGCUAAAUUUGUCAGACUACUAUUACCAGAGAUUUUUUGCUUGUAAGGGUACUGCUUAUAUGAUAGAAUAAAUAAUGGUUUUCCUUUUUAUUUUCAUAGACCCGAAAAGCUUAAUAAUUACCUUCUUAAGUACUUAUGUACAUGUUUGUAUCAAUUGUUCUAUAAUAGCUUCGGCUUUAUUUAUUAGUAUAGUAGUAAUCAUUUUAUGAAACUUCUGUUUAUAUCAUCUAUAUAAAUAUGACUUGUUUAUAAAAUAAACUUUUAAACCUCAUAUAAUUGUUAUUAGCCUUAUUUUUUAAGAAUGUGGAAUCUGAACAGAUGUAAUUGCUGAAUACCAGAUUGCACAUUCCUUACACUUACACAUUAUCCUGUUUAAUCUUCCCAAUAACCUUGUGAAGGAGAUGGUAUUAUCUUGUUCUUACAGCUGAAGAGGCUGAGGACUUAAACAGAGGGAGGAUGACUUCUCCAAAGUCACGUGGCCAGCAAGUGGUGGAACAUUUAUUAAUAGUUAUUUCUGCUUAUUUCUCUCUUCUGUCGUUGAGAACUUCGAGAGGAAGACAGCUCUCUUCUUCUCACCUCAAUUCCGUCAAAGUCAAGCUCUGACACAGUAGAAGACUACUUAGAGAGGUCUCAACUUCUCUAAAAAUGUCCCUUGUUCUUCCCAGGAAGAGAAGAGAAAGAGCGCCCUGUCAGAGGACUUCUAAGGAACCUAGGACCUGCUGCCUACACUUUGCCACAAGACAGAUGUUGGGAAACAGUUGCUGGUGAACGUUUUAGAUGCACUUUCCCUCUGUGUCCACCUCUGGAGAGAACGUGAUGCACUUUUGAAGGUGAGAUCCUAAUUCUGGAGAGACCUUGAGGUCAUUUAGGGCAGUUCACACUUGAGUGGGGAAUCUUUAUAUAAACCAGAGUGGCAGUCACUGUUGAAAACAUGCUUUAGGAACCCCUGGCAUAAAACAUGUCAUUUUACAGUUCUGUAGUAUUUGCAGCUCUCAGCUCUUGGGGAAUUUUUAUAAUUUACAUAUACAAAUUAUAAUAGAGUUUUCUCUUAAUUGCUACAGUAUCCAUUUCCUGAUAAAAUAAUUUGUGUAGCUUUGCCAUGAAUUUUAUACUUUUUCCCCUUGUAAUAUUUUUGAAACAUUCAAAAAAUAAAACUGGAAAUGUGUUAUUACAUUUGAACAUGUGACUUUAAUAAAGUCUUUUUUGGCUCA